AUGAAAAAAAGAGAAAGGGGUGGGCAGGGGAGAGACAGGCAGGGACACACCCGCGCCUCUCCUUUGUUCAGCCCCCUGCAUCAGGAAGGGGCUCCAGUCCCAGGGAGGGGCCCCGGGCUGCGUUCCCUGCCCCCCCCAUUCCCACCCACCUUCUUUUGUGUCUGCCUGGCUGCCAGCCCCGGUAGGCGCGCGCGAGAGGCAGAACAAAGAGGCCGGCCCUCCUCGCAGGAUCGGCCUCCCGUCGCACCGGGGAGGGAGAAGCCGGCGCGUUCCCCCCACCCCCAAGUGAAGCCCGGCCUGGGGCGCGUCUCUUGCGGGAGGGGGGCGAGAGCGGCUGGUGCCUCUGAGCCAGAAAAAAAAAAUAAAAUAAAGAGCCGGCGCCCAGCGCCCCUGGCUUGCCCGGGAAGGGAAGCCAACCGGCCACCUUGCCUAGGUCAUCCUAGUGACAGCCCUUCCUUCCUUCCUUUACCGGGAACAGCUGAGGGGCAGAGGAAGGCCAGCCUCCGGUUCUCUCCUCUUUCCACCUCAGGAGGAGCCUGUUGUCGCCCAAAAUCAAGAAACUCAAGGAGUCCCCGAAGAAGCAGGGCUUUGAGAACAGGCGUUUUCUGGGCAGAGCCUGGAGGGUGGGGGGCGCCAGCAGAGCAACCCUCAGUCUUAAACUCCUGCAGUUUAGUCGCCCUGGUUUGCUUUACUGGGUUUUGGUACCUUGUGCNNNNNNNNNNNNNNNNNNNNNNNNNNNNNNNNNNNNNNNNNNNNNNNNNNNAGGAAGAGCAAAAAGUGACCUUGAGCAGUACCUGUGUCUCACAUUCAAGACAAUGUCAGAAAGAGAAAACUACCCGGCUUUAUUUUACAUUUCUUUUUACCCUUAUUAUUUGUUUCUUCUCAAAACUCAGCCCCACUCUUUGUGAAGCCCUCUCUGCCCAGGCAGCAGCACCGCCCGCCCCGCCCCCCCCAGUCCAUGUAUUUCCUUCCUCCGGCCCCUUUUGUGGUCAAAAUGUGACUCAGCUGCAGGAGAGAAUAAACCCUCUUCUGCCAAUCCUGCCCCUGACUGGGGAUGCCAGUCUCUCUCCUGGCUCUGCCACCUUGCGAGUGACGGCAUCCUUGGGCCAAGGCAGGCGGGUUCCCAAAAAGGGAAGAACCCUCUGA
Molecule: long non-coding RNA, 1146 nt
Filed under: Pogona vitticeps (central bearded dragon)
Lineage: Eukaryota; Metazoa; Chordata; Lepidosauria; Squamata; Agamidae
Description: lncRNA (ENSPVIG00000011692.1)
Source: RNAcentral